RNAcentral lists this ribosomal RNA (785 nucleotides) under uncultured euryarchaeote. RNAcentral describes it as "bacterial SSU rRNA". It matches the Rfam family "Archaeal small subunit ribosomal RNA", at positions 72 to 859 of the family's 1478-position model. Lineage: Archaea; Methanobacteriati; Methanobacteriota. The record is from RNAcentral.
GCAUGCUCGGCGUACGGCUCAGCAACACGUAGUCAACCUGCCCUUAGGUAAGGAAUAAUCUCGGGAAACUGAGGAUAAUACCUUAUAAGAAAAAGGAUCUGGAACGCCCUUUUUCUCAAAGCUUCGGCGCCUAAGGAUGGGACUGCGCCUGAUUAGGCUGUUGGUGGUGUAAUGGACCACCAAACCUGCGAUCAGUACGGGCCAUGAGAGUGGUAGCCCGGAGAAGGGGACUGAGACAAGGCCCCUAGCCCUACGGGGUGCAGCAGUUACGAAACCUUUACAAUGCACGAAAGUGUGAUAGGGGAAUCCCAAGUGCCAUAGUUUUACUAUGGCUGUGGUUAAGUGUAAAUUACUUAGCAAGAAAGGGGUGGGUAAUACCGGUGCCAGCAGCCGCGGUAAUCCCGGAGCCCCGAGUGGUGGCCGCGUUUAUUGGGCCUAAAGCGCCCGUAGCCGGAUUAGUAAGUUCUCGGUGAAAUUGUUUGGCUUAACUGAACGAAUUGCCUUGAAUACUGCUAGUCUAGGGAUCGGGAUAGGUUAGUAGUAUGCCUAGGGGAGGGGUAAAAUCCUUUAAUCCUAGGUAGACUAUCGAUGGCGAAGGCAACUAACUGGAACGAGUCCGACGGUAAGGGACGAAAGCUAGGGUAGCAAACGGGAUUAGAUACCCCGGUAGUCCUAGCUGUAAACGCUGCCCGCUGGGUGUUGCACAUUCCUAGAGUUUGUGCAGUGCCGUAGUGAAGACGUUAAGCGGGCCGCCUGGGGAGUACGGUCGCAAGGCUGAAACUUAA